GCAACGAGCGCAACCCCUGCUAUCUGUUGCCAGCAAGUGAUGUUGGGGACGUCAGAUGGAACUGCCGGUGGACAAACCGGACGGAAGGUGGGGACGGACGGUCAAGUCAUCAUGGUCCUUAUGUCCUGGGCGUACACACGUGCUACAAUGGCCGGUACAGAGCGCAGCGAAGCCGCGAGGCAAAGCGAAUCGCAAAAAGCCGGUCUCAGUACGGAUUGGAGUCUGAAACCCGACUCCAUGAAGUUGGAAUCGCUAGUAAUCGCGCAUCAGCAUGGCGCGGUGAAUACGUUCCCGGGCCUU
RNAcentral lists this ribosomal RNA (300 nucleotides) under uncultured Spirochaeta sp. RNAcentral's name for it is "bacterial SSU rRNA". It matches the Rfam family "Bacterial small subunit ribosomal RNA", at positions 1089 to 1382 of the family's 1533-position model. Lineage: Bacteria; Pseudomonadati; Spirochaetota; Spirochaetia; Spirochaetales; Spirochaetaceae. The record is from RNAcentral.